AGAGAAGCAAGACUGUGAAGAGGAGCCAAACUCAAAAACCGGUCCCAGUUCGGAUUGUAGGCUGCAACUCGCCUACAUGAAGUCGGAGUUGCUAGUAAUCGCGGAUCAGAAUGCCGCGGUGAAUGCGUUCCCGGGUCUUGUACACACCGCCCGUCACACCAUGGAAGUUGGGGGCGCCCGAAGUUGGUCGGGAAAUAGAUUACCUAAGGCGAAACCAAUGACUGGGGUGAAGUCGUAACAAGGUAAC
RNAcentral lists this ribosomal RNA (247 nucleotides) under uncultured bacterium. RNAcentral describes it as "partial 16S ribosomal RNA". It matches the Rfam family "Bacterial small subunit ribosomal RNA", at positions 1243 to 1500 of the family's 1533-position model. The record is from RNAcentral.